UCUUCUCUCAUUAAACCUUUCCACAAGGAGC
This 31-nucleotide non-coding RNA is filed under the name Rattus norvegicus (Norway rat). The record is from RNAcentral. Lineage: Eukaryota; Metazoa; Chordata; Mammalia; Rodentia; Muridae.